GUCGAGAAUCUUCCGCAAUGCGCGAAAGCGUGACGGAGCGACACCGCGUGAUGGAUGAAGUCCUUCGGGGCGUAAACAUCUUUUAUAAAGGAGGAAAUUUUUGACGUUACUUUAUGAAUAAGGGGCUCCCAAUCUCGUGCCAGCAGGAGCGGUAAUACGAGAGCCUCAAGCGUUAUCCGGAAUCAUUGGGCGUAAAGGGUGCGUAGGUGGUUUGAUUAGUCUCCCGUUAAAACUUCGAGCUUAACUCGAAAAGAGCGGGGGAAACGGUCAAACUAGAGUAUGUGAGAGGUGUGUGGAACUCAUGGUGUAGGGGUGAAAUCCGUUGAUAUCAUGGGGAACACCAAAAGCGAAGGCAGCACACUGACACAUCACUGACACUGAGGCACGAAACCUAAGGUAGCGAAUGGGAUUAGAAACCCUUGUAGUCC
RNAcentral lists this ribosomal RNA (428 nucleotides) under uncultured bacterium. RNAcentral describes it as "bacterial SSU rRNA". It matches the Rfam family "Bacterial small subunit ribosomal RNA", at positions 354 to 796 of the family's 1533-position model. The record is from RNAcentral.